Molecule: ribosomal RNA, 996 nt
Filed under: uncultured cyanobacterium
Lineage: Bacteria; Bacillati; Cyanobacteriota
Description: bacterial SSU rRNA
Rfam family: Bacterial small subunit ribosomal RNA
Source: RNAcentral
GUGCCAGCCGCCGCGGUAAUACGAGGGAUGCAAGCGUUAUCCGGAAUUAUUGGGCGUAAAGCGUCCGCAGGUGGCUUUGUAAGUCUGUCGUUAAAGCGUGGAGCUCAACUCCAUAUCGGCGAUGGAAACUACAAGACUAGAGUUUGGUAGGGGUCACGGGAAUUCCUAGUGUAGCGGUGAAAUGCGUAGAUAUUAGGAAGAACACCAGCGGCGAAAGCGCGUGACUGGGCCAAUACUGACACUCAUGGACGAAAGCUAGGGGAGCGAAAGGGAUUAGAUACCCCUGUAGUCCUAGCCGUAAACGAUGAUAACUAGGUGUUGCACGUAUCGACCCGAGCAGUGCCGUAGCCAACGCGUUAAGUUAUCCGCCUGGGGAGUACGCACGCAAGUGUGAAACUCAAAGGAAUUGACGGGGGCCCGCACAAGCGGUGGAGUAUGUAGUUUAAUUCGAUGCAACGCGAAGAACCUUACCAAGGCUUGACAUGUCGCGAAUUCCCUUGAAAGGGGGAAGUGCCUUCGGGAGCGCGAACACAGGUGGUGCAUGGCUGUCGUCAGCUCGUGUCGUGAGAUGUUGGGUUAAGUCCCGCAACGAGCGCAACCCUCGUUUUUAGUUGCCAUCAUUUAGUUGGGCACUCUAGAGAGACUGCCGGUGACAAACCGGAGGAAGGUGGGGAUGACGUCAAGUCAGCAUGCCCCUUACGUCUUGGGCUACACACGUACUACAAUGCUACGGACAAAGGGCUGCCAACUCGCGAGAGUGCGCUAAUCCCAUAAACCGUGGCUCAGUUCAGAUCGUAGGCUGCAACUCGCCUACGUGAAGGCGGAAUCGCUAGUAAUCGCAGGUCAGCAUACUGCGGUGAAUACGUUCCCGGGCCUUGUACACACCGCCCGUCACACCAUGGAAGUCGGCCACGCCCGAAGCCGUUACCCUAACCGUAAGGAGGGGGGCGUCUAAGGCAGGGCUAAUGACUGGGGUGAAGUCGUAACAAGGUAACC